Molecule: ribosomal RNA, 433 nt
Filed under: uncultured bacterium
Lineage: Bacteria
Description: partial 16S ribosomal RNA
Rfam family: Bacterial small subunit ribosomal RNA
Source: RNAcentral
AACGAACGCUGGCGGCAUGCCUAACACAUGCAAGUCGAACGAGACCUUCGGGUCUAGUGGCGCACGGGUGCGUAACGCGUGGGAACCUGCCCUUAGGUUCGGAAUAACUCCCCGAAAGGGGUGCUAAUACCGGAUAAUGUCUUCGGACCAAAGAUUUAUCGCCUUUGGAUGGGCCCGCGUUGGAUUAGCUAGUUGGUAGGGUAAAAGCCUACCAAGGCGACGAUCCAUAGCUGGUCUGAGAGGAUGAUCAGCCACACUGGGACUGAGACACGGACCAGACUCCUACGGGAGGCAGCAGUGGGGAAUAUUGGACAAUGGGCGAAAGCCUGAUCCAGCAAUGCCGCGUGAGUGAUGAAGGCCUUAGGGUUGUAAAGCUCUUUUAACCGGGAUGAUAAUGACAGUACCGGGAGAAUAAGCUCCGGCUAACUCCGUG